UUAUAGCUCAGUUGGUAGAGUGCUUGCUUAGCAUGCACAAAGCCCUAGGUUCAAUCCCCAGUCAAA
RNAcentral lists this transfer RNA (66 nucleotides) under Marmota monax (woodchuck). RNAcentral describes it as "tRNA.Ala". Lineage: Eukaryota; Metazoa; Chordata; Mammalia; Rodentia; Sciuridae. The record is from RNAcentral.